ACGGUGCUACGGCGACUACGGCGAUGAGGGAAAAGGGAAACGGAGUGGUGCUCACCGAGCAGGCGCAAGGAGGCUCGUCGAGUGGCUUAGGAGCAGCAGAGGUGGCCGGCGUCGUCAUGGCCCGUCGACGACCCGAGGAGGAAGAAGCUUUGACCCGACGCUGCAGCAUGAGGAGCUCCAACGGGUGGCACCAGUGAAUGCAGAGGAAAACGGCGAAGCGGAGGACGCGGUCCUAGGCGGUGGGGGGGCAUGGUGGCCGCGGCGGGAUGAGAUGGCCGGCGAUGCGGGCGCACGACGAGGUGGAUCUGGACGUGAGGGAGAGUGACGAGGGAGAGAGGGGGCGUGGGAAAAUAUCUGCGAAGGGGGGGGGAGUGGAGCUGACGAGGCCGAGAGGAGGAGGGCGCCUGCCUUAUCCCCCCGCCAGCGUUGAUGAGGUGGUUCGGCGAGGCGUCACUCCUGUUGCGACCGCGCCAGGGGAACAGGGGGACUAAGCGACCGAUGGGGGGCUAGGUGGGCCAGCUGGCCAAGGUGGGCCGAGGCCCAGGGGGAGGAGAGGCCUUGUCUAUUUUUAUUUUUAUUUUGCUUUUCUAUUUUCUAAUUAGUUCCCUUUUAUUUUUAGCUUUACAAAAUUCAUUACUAGCCCCUAAACCAACACUAGUAACCUAUGCCACUGCCACAGAUAGUUGGAGGUUGAAAAUAAAAUAGUUUAGUAUUUUUACAUUUUAAAAAGCAAUUAAAUAAUUAACUAGGCCACUGUGUUGACUAGUUUAAGGCAUUUAAACACUUUGCAAAAAUGUUGGUUCGCCACCACAAUUAGUUAUAGAAUACUUGCCAAAAGAUGAACAUUUUAUUUAGCAGGUUUGAGAAAUUUGAAUUUGGACUUUAAUUUAAAUUAUGCUUCGGAUCAAAUGAGGAUUAGCAACAGUAAGAGUGAUGAUCUGGCAUCAUUAGCAGGAGAUUACUGUAGCUUAAUUAUCCGGGUGUCACAAUUCUCCUCCACUACAAGAAAUCUCGUCCCGAGAUUUAAGGGGUGAAGUAAGGGGGAAAGACUCUAGAAGGACGAAGCUCAACACAAGAUAGGUACCUAAGGGCUAUCUCACUAAACGUGGCAUAGAGACAUCUCUCGAGUUGAAAUUUAAGAAAGUCAUCGAGGGCAAGAUAAGAAGGUGCAAUAAGAAGGUUCAAUCGGGUAGGCAAUCGUUCGUUGCCUGAAAUAGAGGGUGAAAGGGGUUCAGAGCAAUGGGAAUAAGUAUUGCGCCUGAUACCAGAAUAGAUAACUAGGAUGUGGCUCGUGAUUUAUAUACGAAGCCAAGUGCGAGGAACAAUUUUGGAAGAUAGGGAUGUAGAGGAGUUAGGUUUUGAUCCUGGGACCUGUGGGUUAUGGGCCCACCACGUGGGUUAACAGCAGGAAGGCACUAAUCAUUUUGCACGGUCAUGGUAGCAAGGCAAGUCAGAGGAUAGCCUAUCAAUUAUGUUGGCAACAACGUUGGUACCAAGGGCGAGGGACGAAGAGAGCCAUUUUCUUGCUCGCAAGGCGAGGCGGACCAAUAGGCAAAGUUCUCAUCCAUCGGUGGUUACCAGAAUGUCAUCAACAAUACUAACAAGGUCUUACUGACAGAGUUUGUACACCAAGGUGUUUACAUAAGCAGCGAGUUAUCACUGCUCAGAUAUGCUAGUUUAUAAGAAAGGUUAAACAAAACAAUGGAAGGGGAAAGUGUAGACUCGAAUCAGUUAUCGGUGUUCUCGAGUGUUUAAAUACUCGGAACCCGUGAAAAAUUGGAAUCGGCGAGAAAUAAUAGUUGAUCAAGAACUCAUAAGGAGUCAUGUAGUACCAUGAUAUUCUCGGGAUACCAAAGGGUAACACUCAAAGGUAUAUCAAUGUAGAGUUUGAACAGGUGAAACGAUCUGAAGAAGACAAGUACUUUAACUUGUCCGAUAAAUGGAUCAAACAAGAACAAUAUGGUCGGAACCACGAUUGCAAAGGACCAAACAUAGAUACAAGAUGGACUUAUCACAAGGGGAUUAUUAUUAUAACAAGAAGCUUCCAUGAUAAAUUCCACAUCGGGUCUAUGGGCAUGAACACAAAGGUUCAAGGUCGACUCCCACUUCUCUAAUGCACAACUUUCCAUUCACCACUCGCGUUCGAAGAAGUUGUAGAAUUUGAAAAUUUAUCCGAAGAAACACCAGUAGAUAUAACUCGCAUAAUCUUCGGGUUCACACGGAUUUAGGUAAGACAAAUAUUCAACCCAUCGGGGCAUUUGAAGAACAUAUACCACAAACUUCACAGGUAAAUAACUCAAUACCGAGAGUAGAGCAUGGUUCAGGAAGCAGAAGAUACAAUUUACCAAAGGCAUUAUGUAUCCAAGGAAAAGCUCACAAGGUUACUAAAUAUGAAGGACAUUGUCGGAUAAAACCCAACAAAGGACCUGGAGGUCCACAAUGAAUCUGAUGUGAGUAUCGGUACUCCCCCAGAAGAAGAAAGAAUGCAAGCAGGACAGGUUAUAGAAACAACUGACAAAUUCAAAGCUCAAAUGCAAAGGACUUAUGGUUUCCAAAAUGUGGAAUCAAAAGUAGAGGCUAUGAUCAAAGAUAAGUAAGUUCGAUAGAUAUAGAUCGACAAUCAAACAAAGUUUGAUUUGUCGAACACCAGCUCAUGUCCGGAGUGACAUCUGAACCAAGGGGAGAAUUUUAAAUAGGGCUGAUGAUCAUGAGCAUUCACAAAUGAAUCGAAUCAAAUGCUCGAAAUUACGAUGACAAAGGAUGCUAAAGAGCAUUACUGGACAUAUGGAAGUAAUCAUAAUGUAAGAAGAUAAGGAGGAAUAAGAGUAAUAGGCUACUAAGGAGUUUUGGAAGAUCAAAUAGCAUUCCAAAGAAUUUUGUGAAACACAUGAACAACUGUGGACGAACGGAUACUCGGCAAGUGCGAGUAAUUAUCCAUAGGGGUAUUCAUGAGGAAAGGAACUGCAGGGCAGUAAGUAUAAAGGGUUCUCGAAACAUCGGAGAGUAUUUCAGGACAUCUUGUAAUAACAAGAGCAACUGGGGAUGAAGGUAUGAACGACAACAUAGGUAGUUACCCAUAAGGAUUUAUCGGUGGUAGGGAUUGCAAGGGCGAAGGGCACAAGGGUCUCGAGAAGCAUCAGAGAGUAUCUUCAGAAUCUUCUGGUGAAGUGGGCCAUCAUCUAGAAUGAAGGGGCUCUCCGGGAGAAGUAUUUAUGAGAACCUAGAGUUAUAGCUUGCAAAACCAUUUAACCCGAAUAGAAGAGAGAUCAGAUUCCCAGAGUAUAGACGAGGAAUAAAAGAUCCUAAUACCACCCAAUUGGCGACGUGGGCCCGUAAGCCACACAGCCAUGUUAGUAAAACAGUUUUUGAAGACUAGACUCAACUUCGGCCAAGGAGUUGGAAAGGGGGAUCCUACAGGCAGUCGGCUCUGAUACCAACUUGUGACGCCCCCGAUUCAAUCGUACACUAAUCAUACACGCAAAUGUGUAUGAUCAAGAUCGGGGACUCACGGGAAGAUAUCACAACACAACUCUAGACACAAAUCAAAAAUAUUACAAGAUUCAUAUUACAAGCCAGGGGCCUCGAAGGCUCGAAUACAUAGCUCGAUACACAAGAGUCAGCGGAAGCAACAAUAUCUGAGUACAGACAUAAGUUAAACAAGGAUGCCUUAAGAAGGCUAGCACAAAAGCAACAACGAUCGAAGAGGCAAGGCCUCCUGCCUGGGACCUCCUAAACUAACUCCUGGUCAUCGGCGAUCUUCACGUAGUAGCAUCCAUCGGCGGUGGCAUCUAGCUCCAAGGAUCCACCAUCUGAUUGCAUCAACCGGAAAGAAGAAAGAAGGGAGAAAAAGGGUAGCAAAGCAACCGUGAGUACUCAUCCAAAGUACUCGCAAGCAUCAGAUCUAUACUAAGUAUGCAUUGGUAUCAAAUGGAAAGGUUGUAUCUGUGGACUGAACUUUAGAAUGCUAGAAUAGAAGGGGGAAGGCCUGGCCUAUCGAAGACUAGCAUCUUCACGCAGCUCCGAACAUCUUGUAGCAUGUAGAAGAGUAAAGAAUAGCAGUUUAAUAUUUAACAAACAUGUUGUAACAUUAAUGCCCAGAGAUCCUUCCUCUACUCCCUGCGAGAAAGCAAUCCCGGAGCCACAUAUCUCAAGUAUCCAUUUGUAGUUGUAUAAGAUCAGGAUAUAAGUCUGAACGUCCGUUACCGUGGACACGGCUAUUAAUAGAUAAUCUUCCCUGCAAGGGUGCACCACGUUUUCCAACACGCUCGAUCACUCUGGCCGGACACACCUUUUUGGGGUCAAUGUCCGGCCUCGGAAGAUCAACACAUCGCAGCCCUACCUAGGCUCAGCAGAGAGGUCCCCGCCGGUCUACAUCCUAAGCACUCCGGGGUCUGGGUCCAUCGCCCGUUGCACUCCGGAUCGUUGCGUACAGGGCGGGUCCAGGCUCCACCUCUACAUGGAUGGUGCCGGCCCAGCCGUGCCGCACUGCUGAACUGGACGUCUGACAAAUCUUCGGCUGAUAAUGCAACACCGAGGCCCAUAACUAUUCUCACGUGGUGGUUGGUGCGUAAAGGCCAGAGGCCAACUCAGAACAAAUACCCAAGCCAUAGUGUAUUAUUAGCUUGCGGAGACGAGCAGAGACUCACGAUCAAAAGUGACCCGUCGCCCCAUCUCGUGGACUUACGACAAGGGCCUAGAAUGCCCGGUCGUGCCACGUCAUUAUCUUGCGGGUGCUCUCCGGGCCCGCCUAACUUCCACCAAGGUCUCAAGUAAAGUCAAGGUAACUGUGUGUCCAGACAUCAAGGGGAAAACCCGAGGAAUCACCCCCGGUGGAUUCCACUCGAUGUAAUCAUCAAGGUGAACGUAAGAUGGACCACCCUCGAGGUUCACACUUGAGGUGUUGAACGACAGAGCCGUAUCGGGAAUGGUGAAAGAGGAAAUCACCUUCGAUGACCAUGACCGAAAUAGCUACACUACAGAAUUAUCAUCAGGAGUGCGUUAUGAGGGAUCACCCUCGGCACUCGAUAGUAGCUCUGCAGAGUCGAGCAACUAAAGGGGCGUGAUGUGAUGUGAGGUGUCGGGCUCUGGUCGUCGAUCACGUCGAUCGAGGCGUCGAUGAUGAAUCAGGGGAAACAAGGACAAAGUGGGGUCACUGAUGGAUCACUAACCAACCUAUACUAAGCAGUUUAGGAUAAGCAGGUAGGUAACAAUAGCAGGUACAAAAGCAGGCUAUGCAUCAGAAUAGGAGCAAACAAUAACAGUAGCAAAAUCUAAUGCAAGCAUAAGAGUAUAGAAUGGGCGAUAUCGGGAUGAUCAAAGGGGGGCUUACCUGGUUGCUCAGACAAGGAGGGUCAUCCGUGACGUAGUCGAUCACAGUGGCAUCAGCAGCGGUCUCGGGGUCUAUCGGAGAGAAGAGGGGGAAAACAGUAAAUACACACAAACAUAUGCAUAACAAGACAAUAAGAUGGGUUAGAGGUGUUCUAACGCAGUGCUAGGCGAUACUGGCGAAGGGGGAAACAUCCGGGGAAGUUUUCCCGGUCCCGGACGUGUGUGAGACAAAUGAACCGGAGGGGAAAGUUUGCAUGUUCGCUAUGCUAGGGAUGUGUCGCCGACGAACGGACCGCGUACUCGGAUUCGUCUCGUCGUUCUAAGCAACUUUCAUGUACAAAGUUUUUCUAUCCGAGUUACAUAUUAUUUUAUAUUAAUUUUCAAAGAUUUAUUAUUUUAUGAAAUUUCCUAGAAUUAAUAAUAAUUCGAGUUGACCAAGUCAAUUUGACUGGUUAAAAGGGGAGGGUGUGGCCCACAUGUCAUAGACUUUUUACCUAAACAAAUAAAUAAACCUAACUUAUUUAAAAGGGGCCCUCCAUAUCAUCUACUACUAGACUAACUUAGCACUAAAUAAUACUUCCUCCGUCCGAAAAUACUUGUCAUCAAAAUAGAUAGAAAGAGAUGUAUCUAAAACUAAAAUACGUCUAGGUCUAUCCCUUUUAUCCAUUUUGAUGACAAGUAUUUCCGGACGGAGGGAGUACUAACUAAACCUAGUAGUGCUAAUCUAAGCAACGGCCAGCCAUUACUGGGCAUAGCCCAACCAGCCACACACACACGCAAGGGCCGGCCAUUCAGUAAUAGCAGCAGCCAACGGUAGCAGGUAGCUGUAGCACCAACAGCAGAGCAGUAGGCGCCAUCGGCAGCGACGGCAAGCGGCAAGCAGCAGGAACGGCGGCCGGUGAGCAGCAAGAAGCAGCAGCAGCGGCAAGAGUACCAGCAAAGCAGCAGCCAUAGCAGCAAAGCAAAAGCAGCAAACAGCAGUACAGAGUAGUAGUAACAGGAACUGCAGCAACGCAGCCGCAAGUAGCAGGCAGCAGCUACGGGAGCAGGGCACGACCCAACAGGACGCGCGCGAGGGCGCGGCCUGGGGCGGCCAGAGGCGCGGGAGGGCCGCGGUGGCCGGGGAUGGCCGACGCGGGGCGAGGCCCAACGAGCGGUGGCCGGCGGCGCCGUCGGGCACAGCAGGUCACGCGGCCAGCGGGGCGCCGGCGCAGGGGGGCGAGGGGGCAGCGGCCCUGGGCGGAGGCGACCGGAAACGGGCGCUGGGGGCGGUGGCGCGCGAGCGCGGGUGAGGCUGCGGGGGAAAGGCGAGGCCGGCGGUGGAGGCGUCGGCUGCGGCGUAUGGCAGCAGCAACAGCCCACGGAAGCGACGGCCAACAGCAGUAGGAUGUACAGCAGCAACAAACAGUAGUGCGGUAGCAAGGGACGGACUACGCAUGCGCGGGCGGCGUGCGAGCAUGCGCGGGAGGAGAGCUCCGGCCACGGCGGACUGCGGAGCCGAAGCUCGCGUGUAACGGUGCUACGGUGAUUACGGCGACGAGGGAAAAGGGAAACGGGGUGGUGCUCACCGAGCAGGCGUAAGGAGGCCCGUCGAGUGGCUUAGGAGCAGCAAAGGUGGCCGGCAUCGUCAUGGUCCGUCGGCGACCCGAGGAGGAAGAAGCUUUGACCCGACGCUGCAGCAUGAGGAGCUCCAACGGGUGGCACUAGUGGAUGCAGAGGAAAACGGCGAAGCGGAGGACGCGGUCCUAGGCGGUGGGGGGGCAUGGUGGCCGCGGCGGGACGAGAUGGCCGGCGAUGCGGGCGCACGACGAGGUGGAUCUGGACGUGAGGGGGAGUNNNNNN
This 7170-nucleotide long non-coding RNA is filed under the name Triticum aestivum (bread wheat). RNAcentral's name for it is "long non-coding RNA (TAES_LNC007219)". The stretch from base 5899 to 6032 matches the Rfam family "MIR1120/MIR1122 microRNA precursor family". Lineage: Eukaryota; Viridiplantae; Streptophyta; Magnoliopsida; Poales; Poaceae. The record is from RNAcentral.